Non-coding RNA from Myotis lucifugus (little brown bat), 77 nucleotides. The record is from Rfam. NCBI's taxonomy places the organism in Eukaryota, Metazoa, Chordata, Mammalia, Chiroptera, Vespertilionidae.
AAGACACCCUUCUGGGGCAAGACUUGCUUCAGUGGGGCUUUGGUGCUCACUGAAUCUGUCCCCUGAGUGUGAUCCUU